UUGAUUUAUAAUAUAAAGUCUGGCCUGCCCAAUGAUUAAUUUAAUGGCCGCGGUAUUUUAACCGUGCAAAGGUAGCAUAAUCAUUAGUUUUUUAAUUGAAAACUGGAAUGAAUGGUUUGACGAGAAAUUAUUUGUCUCUUGUUUAUAAAUUGAAUUUUAUUUAUAAGUUAAAAAGCUUAUAUGAUUUUAAAAGACGAGAAGACCCUAUAGAGUUUUAUAUAAAUUGAAAAUUUUUUAAUUUUGAGUUUAUAUUUUGUUGGGGAGAUAGAAAAAUUUAAAAAACUUUUUUUUUAUUUAUUUACUUAUAAGUAUAAAUUUGAUCUUUAAUUUAUGAUUAAAAGAUUAAAUUACCUUAGGGAUAACAGCGUAAUUUAUUUUUAGAGUUCUUAUCAAAAAAUAAGUUUGCGACCUCGAUGUUGGAUUAAAAUUUAAUUAUAAUGAAGAAGUUAUAAUUUUUGGUCUGUUCGACCAUUAAAAUUUUACAUGAUCUGAGUUUAAACCGGUGUGAGCCAGGUUGGUUUCUAUCUUUAAAAUUUUAUUAUAAUUUAGUACGAAAGGACCAAUUAUUAAGUAUUAUAUUUUAUUUUGAUUAUUACUAUUAUUUUGGCAGAUUAGUGCAAUGGAUUUAGAAUCUUUAUAUGUAUAUUUUACAAAUAAUACUUGGUAUUUUUUGAUUAUGUUUUACUAUUUUUAAACUUUUUAAUUCUUUUGAUUUCUGUAUUAAUUGGGGUUGCUUUUUUAACUCUUCUUGAACGAAAAGUCUU
This 764-nucleotide ribosomal RNA is filed under the name Stegobium paniceum (drugstore beetle). RNAcentral's name for it is "partial 16S ribosomal RNA". The stretch from base 1 to 553 matches the Rfam family "Bacterial large subunit ribosomal RNA", at positions 1833 to 2925 of the family's 2925-position model. Lineage: Eukaryota; Metazoa; Arthropoda; Insecta; Coleoptera; Ptinidae. The record is from RNAcentral.